GCGGGUUUAGCUCAGUUGGGAGAGCGUCAGACUGUCAGUUCAAUCAGGCUUCAGCUCGUUCCGCAAUAAGUAACUAACCAAAAGUAGGAAGAAAACUUCAGCAUGAAAUCUGAAGGUCGUGUGUUCAAUCCACACAAGCCGCA
Diaporthe citri is the source of this 143-nucleotide non-coding RNA. NCBI's taxonomy places the organism in Eukaryota, Fungi, Ascomycota, Sordariomycetes, Diaporthales, Diaporthaceae. The record is from the annotation of a RefSeq genome assembly.